GAGAGAGAGAGAGAGAGAGAGAGAGAGAGAGAGAGAGAGAGAUGAUUGUUUUAUGUUCGAACACCAGUGUUCGGAUUCCUGGUUGGAUUUUAAAUCUUUGAAGCUCUGAUGCUGCAUCUUGUUGCA
Musa acuminata subsp. malaccensis (wild Malaysian banana) is the source of this 126-nucleotide non-coding RNA. The record is from RefSeq and is a predicted model, not a curated record. NCBI's taxonomy places the organism in Eukaryota, Viridiplantae, Streptophyta, Magnoliopsida, Zingiberales, Musaceae.